ACGGCUGAGUAACGCGUGGGAACGUGCCCCAAAGUGAGGAAUAACUGCCCGAAAGGGUAGCUAAUACCGCAUAUUAUCUUCGGAUCAAAGGAUUUAUCCGCUUUGGGAGCGGCCCGCGUCGGAUUAGGUAGUUGGUGAGGUAAUGGCUCACCAAGCCGACGAUCCGUAGCUGGUCUGAGAGGAUGACCAGCCAGACUGGAACUGAGACACGGUCCAGACUCCUACGGGAGGCAGCAGUGAGGAAUCUUCCACAAUGGGCGAAAGCCUGAUGGAGCAACGCCGCGUGCAGGACGAAGGCCUUCGGGUUGUAAACCGCUUUUAUAAGUGAGGAAUAUGACGGUAACUUAUGAAUAAGGAUCGGCUAACUACGUGCCAGCAGCCGCGGUCAUACGUAGGAUCCGAGCGUUAUCCGGAGUGACUGGGCGUAAAGAGUUGCGUAGGUGGUUGUAUAAGUGAAUAGUGAAAUCUGGUGGCUCAACCAUACAGGCUAUUAUUCAAACUGUACAACUCGAGAAUGGUAGAGGUCACUGGAAUUUCUUGUGUAGGAGUGAAAUCCGUAGAUAUAAGAAGGAACACCGAUGGCGUAGGCAGGUGACUGGACCAUUUCUGACACUAAGGCACGAAAGCGUGGGGAGCGAACCGGAUUAGAUACCCGGGUAGUCCA
This 664-nucleotide ribosomal RNA is filed under the name uncultured bacterium. Its description in RNAcentral is "bacterial SSU rRNA". It matches the Rfam family "Bacterial small subunit ribosomal RNA", at positions 102 to 797 of the family's 1533-position model. The record is from RNAcentral.